CCCGAAAUCCUGGUCCAUGGACUUGAAGAAGAAUUUGUAGCUGUGCACGGGCCGGUUGCCCAGGACAUUCUUAAAAUCCGUCAGCGUGACUCUCUCCGGGGGGACGGGCAGCUUCACCAGGGACUGGACUGUCCAUCCAACAGGGUAACAUAGGCGGUUUCCACUCUGUCCUGGGAAGAACUCUGUCACUCCCGCUGGACUAUUGGUCAGCAGUUGGUGGCUCUCCAAGAGCAGAACGGACUUGGGGAGGCCUGGCGGGUAUUUAAGUCCAGUAGGAAUUCCAGGUAGGAGGAAUUGACUAAAUGUGCACCAAGUGGCAUGAGUUUUAGAAGUUUAACUCCAGGCAGCAGGUGGGUGGGGCAGAUUCCUGACCCCCUAUUAAAGGCAAAUUCUUUGCUUCUCUGUCUGCCCAUGCUAGAGUCCUGAAGAUUCUACUAACAGUAAUAAUAAUGCUACUAUACUGUCACCGUGCCCCAAAACCCCCCACCCCUGCAGUUUCAAUGGGAUAUGGUGUCUUCCUUCUCUUUUUGUCCUACAACCCUGUGCGUCGUUACCAUGGACUGCUAAACCCACAGUGGUGGUGUGAGCUGUAUCUCCAGUAGAAGGCUUGAUCCUGAUAUGUAAUUUCUUGGGAAAUCAAUGGGAGGUUUUGCGUAUAGACUGUAGGAUUUGGGCCUUACAGCCUCAGUCUGAUGAGCCCUUCCCGUGGGGAACUCUUCCCAAAGUCAAGAGGAGUUCCAUGUACUGGGAGCGUGCAGGAUUAGGCCCACAGUUUGUUGAGCAUUUUGGAGCACUUUGAGGAGGAAGGUGCUGCACAGAGGUAAGAAGGAACAUGCGGCUGCUUCUCAGUCUCUUAGAGGGUGUCUCGAAGAGCAAGAAAUAAAACCAACUGCAUUUGAAAACCAAGUACAUUCUUCUUUAUUUCUUACAUGUAAGGAGAGUUACACAAUGGGCUGAUAAAUGAUGACAAUAAAGCAAUAUUGAUAGUAUGGAAAUGAAGUAUAUUACAACACAGAGUCAAACCAGCUUUAUGGGCCAAACUCUCCUCUCAAUCUGGAGAGGAAGCACAGUUCAGUGGCUACUGCACACAGCUAAAAAGCAGGAGAUUUGUGUCCUAGUCCUAGCUCCGCUAUUGAUCUCUUGUGUAUCUUUGGACAAGUCGAUACAAAUCACGGUGUGCCUCAGUUUCCCCAUCUGAGACGUGAAGACAGUUCUACUUACAAACCUUUGUAAAGCACUUUGAGAUCUUGGACGGAAGGGCUCCUUGGUAUUAAUUAUUAUUAUUAUUACAGGGUUGCACAGCUGUAACAGAGAAAAAAUAGCCCCAUAUAUAAUUUAGGAGGCAUUUUCUAUUGCACAUAUUGCUCUAAUUUUAUUAACAGAUUUUCUCGCUGAUGUUCCCCUGUCUAACUUCAAAUAAUUAAAAUUGGGAGGGCUGCAUAUUA
Dermochelys coriacea (leatherback sea turtle) is the source of this 1445-nucleotide long non-coding RNA. RefSeq lists it as uncharacterized. NCBI's taxonomy places the organism in Eukaryota, Metazoa, Chordata, Testudines, Dermochelyidae. The transcript is spliced from 2 exons. The record is from RefSeq and is a predicted model, not a curated record.